UGGGGAAUUUUGGACAAUGGGGGAAACCCUGAUCCAGCCAUCCCGCGUGUGCGAUGAAGGCCUUCGGGUUGUAAAGCACUUUUGGCAGGAAAGAAACGUCAUGGGUUAAUACCCCGUGAAACUGACGGUACCUGCAGAAUAAGCACCGGCUAACUACGUGCCAGCAGCCGCGGUAAUACGUAGGGUGCAAGCGUUAAUCGGAAUUACUGGGCGUAAAGCGUGCGCAGGCGGUUCGGAAAGAAAGAUGUGAAAUCCCAGAGCUCAACUUUGGAACUGCAUUUUUAACUACCGGGCUAGAGUGUGUCAGAGGGGGGUGGAAUUCCGCGUGUAGCAGUGAAAUGCGUAGAUGUGCGGAGGAACACCGAUGGCGAAGGCAGCCUCCUGGGAUAACACUGACGCUCAUGCACGAAAGCGUGGGGAGCAAACAGG
Molecule: ribosomal RNA, 429 nt
Filed under: Acidobacteriota bacterium
Lineage: Bacteria; Pseudomonadati; Acidobacteriota
Description: Acidobacteria bacterium partial 16S ribosomal RNA
Rfam family: Bacterial small subunit ribosomal RNA
Source: RNAcentral